RNAcentral lists this ribosomal RNA (440 nucleotides) under uncultured bacterium. Its description in RNAcentral is "partial 16S ribosomal RNA". It matches the Rfam family "Bacterial small subunit ribosomal RNA", at positions 338 to 795 of the family's 1533-position model. The record is from RNAcentral.
CCUACGGGAGGCAGCAGUGGGGAAUAUUGCACAAUGGGGGAAACCCUGAUGCAGCAACGCCGCGUGAGUGAGGAAGUAUUUCGGUAUGUAAAGCUCUAUCAGCAGGGGAGAAAAUGACGGUACCUGAGUAAGAAGCCCCGGCUAACUACGUGCCAGCAGCCGCGGUAAUACGUAGGGGGCAAGCGUUAUCCGGAUUUACUGGGUGUAAAGGGAGCGUAGACGGCAGUGCAAGUCUGGAGUGAAAGGCGGGGGCUCAAACCCCGGACUGCUCUGGAAACUGUACGGCUGGAGUGCAGGAGAGGUAAGUGGAAUUCCGAGUGUAGCGGUGAAAUGCGUAGAUAUUAGGAGGAACACCAGUGGCGAAGGCGGCUUACUGGACUGUAACUGACGUUGAGGCUCGAAAGCGUGGGGAGCAAACAGGAUUAGAUACCCCAGUAGUC